Molecule: long non-coding RNA, 8601 nt
Filed under: Triticum aestivum (bread wheat)
Lineage: Eukaryota; Viridiplantae; Streptophyta; Magnoliopsida; Poales; Poaceae
Description: long non-coding RNA (TAES_LNC025600)
Rfam family: MIR1120/MIR1122 microRNA precursor family (bases 5122-5236)
Source: RNAcentral
ACAUCAUGUUGUAUAGCUCUAGCAAUUUGUUUAUCAAGAAAUUCACCAAGUGGCACAUCAUCAUUAUCAAGCAAGGUACUAGCAUCAUCAUAAGCAUCAUUCAUAGUAGGAGUAGCAUCAUCAAUAACUUGCGACAUAUCAGAAUUAAUAGCAUGUGGUGAUGUUGCAAGUUUACUCAUAACAAAAGGUGAAUAUAAAGCAGAACUGGAUCGGAGUUCCUUACCUCCCCUCGUAUUUGAGGGAAAUGUCUUAGUCUUUGGAUCCUUCAGAUUCUUCAUAGUGAUAAUAUGAUAAUAAUCCCAAGUGACUCAACAAAUAUAGCUAUGCUCCCCGGCAACGGCGCCAGAAAAAGGUCUUGAUAACCCACAAGUUUAGGGGACCGCAAUUGUUUUCGAGGAUAGAAUAUUCAACACAAAUUUAUAGAUUCAACACAAGGGAGCCAAAGAAUAUUUGAAGGUAUUAGCAGCUGAGUUGUCAAUUCAACCACACCUGAGAUUAAUUACCUGCAGCAAAGUGAUCAGUAGAAAAGUAGUUUGAUAGUUUUGAUAGUAGUGACAACAAUAAUAGUAACACUAAGAGUGAUAGUAGUAAUUUUGUAGCAAGUGUAACAGUGAUGACAACAGUAGUAACUUAGCAGAAACAAUAUGGAAAAGUUCAUAGGCAUUGGAUCGGUGACUUGUUGGAUUAUAUUCAUCAUGUGACAGUUAUAACCUAGGGCGAUACGACACUAGCUCCAGUUCAUCGAUAUAAUGUAGGCAUGUAUUCCGUAAAUAGUCAUACAUGCUUUAUUAAAAGAACUUGCAUGCCAUCUUUUGUCCUACCCUCCUGUGGCAGCGGGGUCCAUAUUGGAAACUAAGGAAUAUUAAGGCCUCCUUUUAGUAGAGAACUGGAACAAAGCAUUAACACAUAGUGAAUACAUGAACUCCUCAAACUAUGGCCAUCACCGAGAGUGGGCCCGGUUGUUGUCACUCCGGGGGUGUUGGAUCAUAACACAUAGUAGGUAACUAUAACUUGCAAGAUCGGAUCUAGAACAUGGAUAUAAUGAUAAAUUCAUAAACGGUUCAGAUCUGAAAUCAUGGCACCCGGGCCCAAAGUGACAAGCAUUAAGCAUAGCAAAGUCAUAGCAACAUCAAUCUAAGAACAUAGUGGAUACUAGGGAUCAGGCCCUAACAAAACUAAUUCGAUUACAUGAUGAAUCUCAUCCAACUCCUCACUGACCAGCGAGCCUACGAAGGAAUUACCCACUCCCGGUGGGGAGCAUCAUGGAAUUGGCGAUGGAGAAGGGUUGGUGAUGACGAAGAACGAAGACCCCCCUCCUCGGAGCCCCAAACGGAAUCUAGAUCUGCCCUCCCGAGGAAAAACAGGGCUUGGCGGCGGCUCCGUCUCGUGGAUCGCGAUAAUUCUUUCUCCCUGUCUGUGAUUUUAUAGUAUCAGGGGGUUGUCAGCGAGGCCACCAGGUGGGUACAACCCACCUGGGCGCGCCAGGAGAGGGGGGCGCGCCCCGGUGGGUUGUGCCCACCCAGGGCCCCCUCUCCGGUAGGUCUUGACUCCAGAAAUUCUUAUUAUUGAUAUAAAAAUUCCUCAAAAAGUUUCGUUCCAUUCUGAGAACUUUUAUUUCUGCAUAAAAGCAACACCAUGGUAGUUCUGCUGAAAACAGCGUUAGUCCGGGGUUAGUUUCAUUCAAAUCAAGUAAAUUAGAGUGCAAAACAAGAGGAAAAGCGUGAGAAAAAAUAGAUACGUUGGAGAUAUCAAUUAUAGCUGGCCAAAUGGGCCCGGCCAAACAGGCUAGCCCGCGAGCACGCCGGCACGACCCGCCAUGGGCCAGGCACGACACGGGCUAAACGGACUGUGCUCGGCACGCGGCUCGCCUUGGGCCUAAAGCCCAGGCACGUGGGCCGGCACGGCCCGUUUAUUUUAUAUAUAUAUCGGAUUUUUUUAUAAAUGUAUCCAUAAAAUAUAGCCCAAUAGGCCUAAAAACCAACCCAACAGACUGAAAAUAUGCAGCCCAGCAUGCUAAACGGGUCAUCGGGCCAGCCUGUUUACUAAUCAGGCCGUGCCUGGGCCAAGGAGCAGCGCCCAUGGGCCGACACGGCAUGACCCGACUAUUAAACAUGCCACGGCGGGCCGUGCCGGGCCAGGCACGAUUAGCACAGGCUGGGCUGUGCCGUGCCGGGCCGGCCCGUUUGGCCAGGUAUGAUUAUCAAUCCCCCGAUUUGCUGCCUUCCUGGCCAUCGGAUUGUCCUUGUUUUGAGCCCGGGCCGUCAGAUCUUUACCUUUUGGUAAAUCUUGUUUUCACCCUGCAGUUGUUUUUUCUGCCCAAUGACGGGUGGGUCCGUCUCACCCUUGUAUUGGCUGGGUCAGCUGCGCUCGUGUGCAAAAGGGAUUCGCCAGUCAGCUCCGCACGCGCUGCACCAUGUCUCGUCUCAAGUCGCGGAGGUCCCCAACCCCACCGCACAAACCCUAAGAGCAUCUCGAGUCGAUGGCCCCCCAGGGGCGCCUAAAAUCGCCGCCUGGAGGUGAGCCGGUGCAAAAAUUGGGCCUGGGGGCGAGUUGGUCCCCAGCUGCCGGCCCCAGGGCCGCCUCCAGGCGCGUUUAAAAAAAAUUUGUAUAGCAAAUUUUGGCACAGUUCGGCUAAACACGAUAAAUUUCGGCAAACUUGGGCAUAUAUUAGACAUGUUCGCGGAUUUUCAUUACAUAGCAAAAUAGUUAACUAAUCUGAAAAAGAAACUGGCUGAACGCCGAGUAGUCGCCGUCGUCGCCGUCGUCGUCAGACUUCUCCUCCUUGACGCGGCCGUCCCUGGUGGACCCCUGACCGGCGUCGCCAACGCGGGCUGGUGGCGGCGACGCAUCGUCGUCGUCGCUGUCGCAGAUGACGAUGACUCCGCCUUCGUCGCGGCCGCGUCGGCGCUCCGCGAAGCGGUGCAGGGCCGCGCACUGGUGCUCCUUCGCCUUCUCCAGGCGCUCCUUCUCCAUCGCUAUGGAGUCCCUGCGCGCCCAUUCUAGGGCUGCGUCGUCGUCGUCGAGCUCCGUCUUCACCGGCGCGGCUGGCUCCUUCUACACCGGCGCGAGCCCCGGCUCCGUCUUUGGCUUGACGAAGCGCGGAGGAGGAGCCGGCGAGGAGGCGCGUCGGCCGGCCUCGUUGAUGAUGAUGCCGGCGCUGCGAGUGCGCCGGCCGAGCAGCGUCUCCACCGCGGGCUCGACCUUGACGCCGAGCAGGGCCGGAGUACCGGAGGAGUGCGAGGAAGAUCGCGAGGAGGAAGAAGAGGAGGAGGACCCGAACCUCCUUGACGCCCAUGGCCCGGCGCGUCGGUGGUGCGCCGGGGCGGCCACCCUCGCCGGGUACGCUAACGGCGGGUCGUUGCCGCCCUCGAGGUACGUCAGCACGCCCUCGAGUGUGUGGCCAGGGACACCCCACCACAGGUGGCGCCCCUCGCUGUUCUUCUGGCCACCGACCACCGGCGCGCCGUUGGUGGACGCCAACCGCUACUGCUGGCGGCGCUCGAAGUACGCCGGCCAAGCCGCGUGGUUGUCGGCGGCGUACUGGGGAAGGGAGAGCUGGGCGUCGGUAAGGGAGGCGCGUACGACCUCGACCUCCUCGGCGAAGUAUUUGGGCUUGGCCACGGCGUCGGGCAACGGGGGAAUGAGCACUCCGCCGUCGCUGAGUCUCCACCCUGUCGGCCCGGCGCGCAUGUCCGGCGGCGCCGGGAUGUUCGCCUGGAAUAGGAGCCAGGACUCCUGUUCGCGCAGCGAACGGCGGCCGAAGCCGUUGGCCGCCGCCUCGUCUCCGGGGAAACGCUCUGCCAUGGCGACGGGCUCGGGAAAGGUAGAGAGGGAGAGGGAGGGGCUGGGCGGCGGCGAGGGACGGGGCUGGUGUGGGCACAUGCGAGUGAGGCCACCGGCUAUAUAGCCGCGCCGCGCCAGUGUGUACGCGUGCGAGGGAGAGGAGGCGUUGGUGCGCCGUCCCGUGACGCGCCGCCUGUGAGGAAUCAAUGGCAAGACUGACCGGCGGCAACCUUGCCAUUAAUUCCCCGCAGGAACCGAGACCGUUGGGGAAGACGAGGCGCUGUGUCGUUGACGCGGCUGGCCCGCGGCUUUUUCGCGCCAAAGCAGCUCGCCCCGACGUCCCCGGGCGCCCCAGCGCGCCGGGUUCAGCCUGGGUCUGUCGACACUGUUUUCGGUUUAUGCCGGCGAAAAUCAGGCUUCUGGGACACGAUGGGUCGUUUUUUCGGUGCCGGUGCAGAAAAAAUCGCGUGGGAGGCCUUCCUGGGCGCGGCUGGAGAUGCUCUAACGCUCUUCCUCGUCAUCCACCUCCCCCAUUCUGCCUCGCUCCUCUCUGUCCGAUGACCACGCCACCGCGAGGAAGCGGCCGCGCAAGAGGUCAGGGGCCGCCGCCACCGCGAGCCAGGGGAUGCCCAUGGCGAGCCUUUGGGCACGAAGCCGGCGGGGAGUACGCAACAAGCCGCGGCUGCAGCCAGGGUCUUCUCGCUAGAAGUGGAGGCGUAGAGGAUCCCGCCGGAUCCGAGGCGUGCGGGCACGGGGGCGAGCGUCUCCAGCAUCAGCGGCGACCUGCAGGCAAAGGGCGACGGCUGGGGCGCUCGAUUCGAUCCAGCGCCAUGAGGGAGAGAGAGAUGUGGGAAGUAGAGAAGGAAGGAGAGGAGGUAUAAAUAGAGAGGAAAGAUGAGAGGGAGGUGCAGCAGCAGAUGGGAGAGGAACACCAGCCGGCGCAGGCCAUUCCCACCUCUCCUCCUUUCCUGCUCUUGACCACCACGGUGAACGCCAAGAGGAGGAGAGGUGGAGACAGAGCCAGCAAGGAAGAUUGGUCAACGCCAAGGAAGACGGGGAAUACAGAGCCAGCAAGGAAGAUGGCCUAGCCCUGCUGCCGAUGCCCACCGGCCACUUCAGUUGGGCGCCGUCCGUUCUUUUUUUUCUUUUAGUUUUGGAUGAAAGUUCUCUUUUACAUUGAGUAUCCCUUUUCUGGUAUAAAAUGGAUUCAACAGCCAAUUUUGGCUAAAGAACAAACUAUCAGUAAAGAAGGGCAAACUGACAGAGGUGGGCAAAACAACUUUUUUUUUAGGAAGAGGUGUGCAAAACAACUUGAGCAAAUAGCUAAAUUACUAUGAGAUGCUAUUCCCUCCGUUCGGAAUUACUUGUCUCGAGAAUGGAUGUAUCUAGAACUAGAAUACAUCUAAAUACAUCCAUUUCUGCGACAAGUAAUUCCGAACGGAGGGAGUACUUUCCAGUGAUUAAUUGCGUCCUUUUAAAUUUUUAGUAGGAACUCAAAAGUUUAAUGAAGAUAGGGAGUUGCAUUUUAUUCUUAUCCACAUGCUUACUGAAUUUACAUUUUUAUCUGGAAAGAGGUAGCCUUAAACAAUCUAGAUUUUUUUACCAGAAUCCCUCAAAAACUAACCUGCUACAAAUAUGAAAUGGCAUUGCAUUGUUACUUCUGUGGGAAGUUCCUAUACAUACUCUCUGUUUCUCUGGAAUUGGUUGAACGUGUUUCUUCUGCUACCACUCUCUGACUAGUCUUGUUACCUUUGUUGCUGAAUUUUGAAUUGCUACAGAUGGAAGACAUUACGCUGUUGAAGGAGUCCAUCAAGAACUGGAGGCAAUAUUAAUGGCCUACGACAUGGGCAGGUAUGUGCUUCAUGAUUGUUGUUGGUUAAUUGAGAAUAUGUGAUGCUCGAAGAAAUGAUGUGCAUUCAGACUAAAUAUUUUAUCUACAUCUACAACUUAAUGUUUCAUGUUAAGAAAAUAUAUCCCAUAUUUCCCCUUAGUGGCGGAGAGCCGGAGAGCAUAUUUGAGCAGCUGACCAGAGGCUGGGCAUCUCCGUCAGUUUAAUUUGUUUGCGUAUGUUCACUCUUUUCUGUUUUCCAAGUGUUGAGUGGCUGCAUUUUUGUUUGCUUUGCUGCUGUUGUGCUUGAUAUGAGCAAGACUAGGGGCAUGGCAGUUGGGCAUGGGGCAUAAACAAUUCAUAGUAUUAGUGUCCAUGCCUAUAUGUCAGGUUAUACGCCUUUGUAAUGUAAUCAGCCAUGCCUGUCAAUGCAGGGGUUUAAAAUACGUAAGCUGAUGCAUCUUGUGCUAGCUUGUCACUGUGUUUCUACUAGGAAAGGUCUGCAAUAGAUUAUAUAUUCAUUCAAAUAUGACAUGGUCUUCUUCCUUUGCCUUCGUCAACAUAUUUGUUUGGGCGUUCCUUUUCUCUGUACUUUGUUUGGGAACUGUUUUCCCUAUGCAUGUCCUUUUUGAUUAUAAGUUCAUGAGCUAAUUUGGUCAUAAUAUACUAAAAGUACUCUUGCACAACAGAAUUCUCUUCUUUACAUGUUUGGUCACAAUAUAGCUCUGUCCUAAAAUCUACUUUGCUUUCGGUUUGAAUCUGUCAUGACUUGGAUAGAUAUACUCUAGACCUUGAUAUACGAGUACGUAAAUGAAGAAGUGUACAUCUUGGUCAUUGCAAUUUUUCCCUGUUCAUUUUAAAAAGAGUGGAUUACAAUUCUCCGGGAGCAACGCUUCUGAGGUAGCUAUUCAUCCAUCUUGCUUUUUAGAAAACUUGCGACCACAGAGCACAGAGGCCGAAGUCGCCACCCUGUAAUGUCGCGCUGAUGGUAGCACAUACUGCUUUGCCGAUGAAUAAUAUCGUAACAGCUAAUGUUUAAAUUUUCAUGCCGCUUCAGCUAACCUGUGAAUAGGUCUACACACUGCACCUACAUGUUUUGAUGACCGUACACUGUUGCCGUAGCUGGCCAAUAUGAUGCUAUGUUUAAUGAAGCUUUUGAAUAUUUUAUUAGCAUAGCUCUGACAGGUAAGGAUACUUUAGGUUGCAGCUCAACUAUGUAUCUGUGGAUAUUACACUUACAACAUGCUAUUUCUUCUUUUUUGGACAUAACUAUGAUACUUUAGGUCGCAUGCUCAACUAUGUAUAUGUGAAUUGUGGGUCAGCUAUGAGGUGAACGUUUUGAGUAUUCUAUUACUACGUCUUUCAAAGGUUAGGGUACUUUAUGUAUCAGCCGUGCCUCUCCAUUCCUGCCUUCCCUGCUUAGCCAGAAGAGGUGGUAUAGUGGAGCAAGCAUCAGGUGACAAGGCUUAUUUCUUUAUUUGGACCUAAAUUUCCGAGUCUAUUAUCAUAAACCUUACGUUAAUAUUCAUUCCUAGCCGUACUCCUAUUAUUUUGUAUCGCCAUUCUACAAAUGCUUCAGCGAAACUUUUCUUUGUUUUAGUCCUUGACAGUUUUGUCAUCUUCCAAUAGAAAUUGCUCCAUAUAACAGCAGGGGAGGCCCCUACUGUAUCCAUCUAUAUAUUUUCCUUCUGGAAGCAUCUGAUGUGAAGUUUAUUCUGGUGUAUGAAAUAAGUAGUUGAUUGUGCUGUCUUUUAAAUGAGCAAGGCAUGAGAGAAAGAUUAUGUUACCAUGGCAACCAUCUUUUAGUCAACGAUUAAGCUGAUGUUCUGUGAAAUUUAAAAACUAAGUUGAUAAUUGGCUUGGUUUGCAUUAGAAGUGUGUGUGCCUCCUUUUAUUUGUUCUCUUUUUGUUCAAUUCCUUAUUUCUAUAAGAUUUAUGUAAUUAUGUUUAUGUUAGAAGGUUUAGAUGCCAUACUCUACAUGGACUGUUACUAAAAGAAUUUUCUAUUGUUCUUAGGUACCAAUCAGGUUAUUGAUGCCGCCGGAUAGCUCUCGUUGGCCAUAAUGUGAUUAGGUAACAUCCUGUUAUUAAAGCUGUUAUGGGUAUAUGCUGCUGCUACAUAAUUGUACUCUUAUGUGGUCAGCCAAGUGUUCUUCUGGAUCUACCUUUGUGUAAUGUAUAACUGAAGUACGAUUAUUUUCUUGCAUACACUAAGCAUACUAUUGUUUGUAUUUCCUUUGUUCGGUAAACGACAAUACAAGCUAUGUUUGUGCCAUGAUUCUAUUCCAAUUUUUUUACCUACUGGCGAUUAAUGACUUUAAAUGUUUUGUAUUGAAAUGGAUCAUUUUAUCAGGUUGGGUUUAGUAGGUUAUAAUGGUUAUUCUACGAUAGGAUUAAUUUUGUUUAUACUGUAACCAGGUAUUACAGGGGAAAACAUCAUUUAAUUUCUGGAUUCAGUUUUGAUUCUUUUAUUAAAAAUAGCUGGAUAGUGAUCUUAAUGAAACAUUGCAUUUAUUUCAUACAAGUCGCUGGUACAAUUUGCUUCUGGCAAAUAAAUUUGUGUCACUGUCUAUUUUAUCAGGUGAAAACACCAGCAUGUUGUUUGAGGUGCAUGCAUCGGUUGCAGCGAAGAUGUGCGUAUGAAGAUGCAUGGCUGACCAUGGAGCACUGCAAGGCUUCAGAAUAUGUACCGCAACUUGCUCCUACCACCAUGCAAGUGGUCGAUGCUUCAGUUAUGAACUAUUGAUUAAUCCCUCUUUUUUCUUUGAUCUAUGUGAUGGUACCCCUUACCAUAAAUACUUGUUAUGUGAAUUCAAUAGAAAUGAUGUUUUAUGAAUGUUUGAUAGUUAUAAAACAAAUGUCAUAGACGAUAGCUAUUGCUAUUAUGGAGGUGUUUUCAACUAUUGUUCAACUGCUAUUCAAUGUUUGAUGCUCCUUCAUUAUUUUUAUACAGAAGGGCUAAAGCUCCAAUCUUACAUGUUUGCUCAAAC